UACAGAGGGCGCACGCGUUUUUAGGAAUUAUUGGGCGUAAAGCGCGUGUAGGCGGCUUUGCAAGUCGGGUGUGAAAGACCUCAGCUCAACUGAGGAAGUGCGCCCGAAACUGCAGAGCUUGAGUGCCGGAGAGGGUGGCGGAAUUCCCCAAGUAGAGGUGAAAUUCGUAGAUAUGGGGAGGAACACCGGUGGCGAAGGCGGCCACCUGGACGGCAACUGACGCUGAGACGCGAAAGCGUGGUGAGCAAACAGG
RNAcentral lists this ribosomal RNA (253 nucleotides) under uncultured bacterium. RNAcentral's name for it is "partial 16S ribosomal RNA". It matches the Rfam family "Bacterial small subunit ribosomal RNA", at positions 524 to 776 of the family's 1533-position model. The record is from RNAcentral.